AUUGGUUUAAAUUUCUCUGCUUUUUUAAAUUUAAAAAACAGUUUCAAACGGUAACGACCUUUUUGGGAGGCUUUUUUAACGAUGUUGCAAGCUGAGGUCCCUUGCUUAAUUAAGCUGAGGUACCUCGCGCAUCCGAAUACAAUUAUGACUUAUGAGUCGGGUGGGUGCGUGGGGUGAUGGAAAGAACAAGGUGGUUACCUUGCUUAAGUUUGCUUUGGAACUAACCUUGCUGAUACGUAGUGCGUGAGGGCAAUCGUGUAGGGCAGAUUGUUCUCUCCUCUUUUCUUUUCUUUUGUUAUUUCUUUCCCUUCAUGCACGAAAAGUACACUAUUAGGAAA
Molecule: long non-coding RNA, 338 nt
Filed under: Oryza brachyantha (malo sina)
Lineage: Eukaryota; Viridiplantae; Streptophyta; Magnoliopsida; Poales; Poaceae
Description: long non-coding RNA (OBRA_LNC000775)
Source: RNAcentral